GACAAUAUUAUACUGUAUCUAACAAGCAAUGGCCAUAGAGAACACAGAAUAAUUAGUGCCAAUCAAUAGAUACUUAAUGUUUCAUCCAAUCAAAAGUCUAUGCAGAGAACCGAAAAGACAACCUAUUGUAGGAUAUGUCUAUAGUGCAGUCCAUACUAAUAUACAUGCUCUGAGAAGUUAACAACUUGACAUGUAUAUUGCUUCCUCAUGAUUCAUGAUCUGUAGCUCGAACUAGAAUGAGAGCAGCAGGAGUCAGCAACCCGGUGCCAGUGGCUUGCCUCGGUCAUUCCUGCUCGGAGAGCACCCCAUUGUGUCUCCUACAUGAGGAUGUAUUCUCCAGACUGGACAAACGAGUACCAGCAGCAGGUGCGCCGUACCUUCGAUCCUUGCCCUGCCAUGGAUUGCGAUAUUCAAUCUUAACCAUAACAUAUGCCACUGCAUGUCUCAGGUGAUUAAAGUAAUCUGUUUACUACAAUGUCCUACAAGAAGUAGGAUGAAGCUAAGUUCAGCGCUCCUGGGCAGCAAGUCAAUUAAUCCCGGCAACAUCCAGACUCUGCAGGAUAUUUAGUGUCAAAUGGUGAGACCAAUUAACUGCCUAAUAGUUGCUGCUUCAUAUGAUUUUCUUGACACUACAUAAUCUAACUUUUCUUGGUUAGCGCAUUAGCACAACUAGGAAUUCGACUACUGGUUGGUAUAACAUUGUUCAAAUUACCCAAUUUGAAAGGCAACCAUCAUAGGUUUAUUUCACAAAUUGAUGUAAACAAACGGUCGCUUAAAGAAGUUGCCGCGUCUUGAGGAUGUCUUAAGCGGCUAUCACAAGGAUAUGAUUACUCAGCCCAGUAUUUUCAAGCAUUACGAUUGGGCAUAGUCCUAAUCAUCCGGUCGCAAUGCCAAUGAAGCAAGAAAAUAACCAGAAGGAAGACUCAUUUAAGUGCAUGUAUCAACAUAAUUUCCGCUUCUUCCUAUAUUCAUUCUUUUCUUCUCAUUAUGUUCCCAGUUUCCUACUUUGUAGGAUGUAAAAUAUGAAAUACAUUUUCUGAUAGUUUCAUUUGUUUGUUCAAAGCAUUGGAAACAUGCAUCAACAUUUGAUGGAAAUAGCUCAAUAUAUCAAUUAGUAUCAACAAUCUAUAUUAUGUGAUACCUGAUAUUUGAAUCUUAUUAUACAGUACAGGCCAAUAGUGAGUGCCCAUGCAUCAUUAUGUUUUAUAUGUAUAAUGUAACCAGAUCAAUUUUCCUAUUCAGUUAUUAUAAAUCUCAGUUUAUCUUUGGGAAUUAUUAAAACUAUAGUGAAGCCCAAAUAAAACAACUACUUCCUCCGUUCCUAAAUAAGUCUUUGUAGAGAUUCCACUAUGGAUUAGAUAAGGAGCAAAAUGAGUGAAUCUACACUCUAAAUACAUCUAUAUACAUCCGCAUGUGGUUCAUAGUGGAAUCUCUACAAAGACUUAUAUUUAGGAACGGACGGAGUAUUUCUUAAGUAUGCUGAAUAUUAAUGGGGGUAGGGGGGCUAACACUUCCGUGCCGAUGCCGGUCACAAGCCAGGAAAAAAAGUGGAGGGACAUAAACAAAUUAACAUUAUGCCCGUAGUUAUGUUUGGCAUGUAUAACUUACAAUGAUUAUGUAGUUGAUGGACCAGAAGUCAAUCUGAUGAAAACCAACAUCAGACAAUAUGUAGGAGCACAAAAUACAUAAAUGGUGCAGAUUAUACUGGUGCAAUCGCACAAAAUCAGAAAAGGGGAAGGGAGAAGGAGGGACCUGCAGGUGGAAGAAUGCAACGCCAGAGCCGGGCUGCAGCUAUCAAGAAUGAAGACAGCGUGAUAAGCUGUCUCGCUUUGGGACAACAACGACGCGUCCGGUUCGGCGCUUCUGGAUGACAACGCCUCCAGGAAACCUCACACUCGCGCAGGAUCCAAGCUAGCUGCGGGGGACGAGAUCGACACCCUCAUCGCCUCCAUGGAGGCCGACUGCAACGGCAAUCGACUUCGACGAGCUCGCCUCCUCCCUCGCGCAACGGCUAUUCGGGACCUGCAACCCCUCCGUCGCCGUUCACUGGCCCGAGAGAUCCACGACCACGAGGCACGGGGGGAUCCAAACCAGCUGUUGUAGAAAGCCACAGCGUGGCCGUACCACUUACCCUUGACGUGGGGUGCGUGCAGGUGAGGACGAUCAAGAAGGAAAUGAGGGGGGCAUCAGAUCAGUCCUCACACGCGGUGGAUCGAAGCUGGACCGGCUUCCCUCAUGGGAGCUCCCGAGAAGACAAGAACACAAGACUGGAGAAAGGGGAAAGUGAGUGUUCAGCUUGGUGGGACCCCUGAUGCCGUCGCGUUGUGCACAAUGGUCAGAGGAAAGUGAAGAGCAACUUUUUCUUUGCUUGCGAUUCAGGCGUGAGACAAGCUUGCUGUCUUCUAAAAUUGUCUUACCUUAACUCUAUUAAGUGUUCAUGAAAUAAAAACAUAGGUACCAUUGCG
Molecule: long non-coding RNA, 2465 nt
Filed under: Triticum aestivum (bread wheat)
Lineage: Eukaryota; Viridiplantae; Streptophyta; Magnoliopsida; Poales; Poaceae
Description: long non-coding RNA (TAES_LNC024276)
Source: RNAcentral